Molecule: ribosomal RNA, 460 nt
Filed under: uncultured bacterium
Lineage: Bacteria
Description: partial 16S ribosomal RNA
Rfam family: Bacterial small subunit ribosomal RNA
Source: RNAcentral
CCUACGGGGGGCUGCAGUGAGGAAUAUUGGUCAAUGGACGAGAGUCUGAACCAGCCAAGUAGCGUGAAGGAUGACUGCCCUAUGGGUUGUAAACUUCUUUUAUAUGGGAAUAAAAUGUUCCACGUGUGGGAUUUUGUAUGUACCAUAUGAAUAAGGAUCGGCUAACUCCGUGCCAGCAGCCGCGGUAAUACGGAGGAUCCGAGCGUUAUCCGGAUUUAUUGGGUUUAAAGGGAGCUUAGGUGGAUUGUUAAGUCAGUUGUGAAAGUUUGCGGCUCAACCGUAAAAUUGCAGUUGAAACUGGCAGUCUUGAGUACAGUAGAGGUGGGCGGAAUUCGUGGUGUAGCGGUGAAAUGCUUAGAUAUCACGAAGAACUCCGAUUGCGAAGGCAGUUCACUGGACUGCAACUGACACUGAGGCUCGAAAGUGUGGGUAUCAAACAGGAUUAGAUACCCUAGUAGUC